UACGGAGGAUGCAAGCGUUAUCCGGAAUGAUUGGGCGUAAAGGGUCCGCAGGUGGCAGUGUAAGUCUGCUGUCAAAGAAUGAGGCUUAACCUUAUCAAGGCGGUGGAAACUACACAGCUAGAGUACGGUCGGGGUAGAAGGAAUUCCUGGUGUAGCGGUGAAAUGCGCAGAUAUCAGGAAGAACACCCAUGGCGAAAGCAGCUCUCUGGGACGGUACUGACGCUGAGACGCGAAAGCGUGGGGAGCGAACAGG
Molecule: ribosomal RNA, 253 nt
Filed under: uncultured bacterium
Lineage: Bacteria
Description: partial 16S ribosomal RNA
Rfam family: Bacterial small subunit ribosomal RNA
Source: RNAcentral